This 309-nucleotide ribosomal RNA is filed under the name Paenibacillus sp. P49E. RNAcentral describes it as "bacterial SSU rRNA". It matches the Rfam family "Bacterial small subunit ribosomal RNA", at positions 60 to 355 of the family's 1533-position model. The record is from RNAcentral. Lineage: Bacteria; Bacillati; Bacillota; Bacilli; Caryophanales; Paenibacillaceae. RNAcentral also lists the same sequence under 1 other name.
AGUCGAGCGGAGUUGAUAAGAAGCUUGCUUCUUUGAUACUUAGCGGCGGACGGGUGAGUAACACGUAGGCAACCUGCCCUCAAGUUUGGGACAACUACCGGAAACGGUAGCUAAUACCGAAUAAUUGUUUUCUUCGCCUGAAGGAAACUGGAAAGACGGAGCAAUCUGUCACUUGGGGAUGGGCCUGCGGCGCAUUAGCUAGUUGGUGAGGUAACGGCUCACCAAGGCGACGAUGCGUAGCCGACCUGAGAGGGUGAUCGGCCACACUGGGACUGAGACACGGCCCAGACUCCUACGGGAGGCAGCAGU